GAGACUUUAAUUUAAUGGCAAAAUAUGUGACUUUUAAUCACCAAUAUAUGGGUUCGAAUCCCAUAGGUCUUA
Molecule: transfer RNA, 72 nt
Filed under: Ricasolia amplissima
Lineage: Eukaryota; Fungi; Ascomycota; Lecanoromycetes; Peltigerales; Lobariaceae
Description: tRNA-Lys
Rfam family: tRNA
About the family: Transfer RNA (tRNA) molecules are approximately 80 nucleotides in length. Their secondary structure includes four short double-helical elements and three loops (D, anti-codon, and T loops).
Source: RNAcentral